CCAGACUCCUACGGGAGGCAGCAGUGGGGAAUAUUGCACAAUGGGGGAAACCCUGAUGCAGCGACGCCGCGUGAGUGAGGAAGUAUUUCGGUAUGUAAAGCUCUAUCAGCAGGGAAGAAAAUGACGGUACCUGACUAAGAAGCCCCGGCUAACUACGUGCCAGCAGCCGCGGUAAUACGUAGGGGGCAAGCGUUAUCCGGAUUUACUGGGUGUAAAGGGAGCGUAGACGGAAUAGCAAGUCUGAUGUGAAAACCCGGGGCUCAACUCCGGGAGUGCAUUGGAAACUGUUGAUCUAGAGUGUCGGAGAGGCAAGCGGAAUUCCUAGUGUAGCGGUGAAAUGCGUAGAUAUUAGGAGGAACACCAGUGGCGAAGGCGGCUUACUGGACAGUAACUGACGUUGAGGCUCGAAAGCGUGGGGAGCAAACAGGAUUAGAUACCCCGGUAC
RNAcentral lists this ribosomal RNA (445 nucleotides) under uncultured bacterium. RNAcentral's name for it is "bacterial SSU rRNA". It matches the Rfam family "Bacterial small subunit ribosomal RNA", at positions 331 to 793 of the family's 1533-position model. The record is from RNAcentral.